RNAcentral lists this ribosomal RNA (1477 nucleotides) under uncultured bacterium. RNAcentral's name for it is "bacterial SSU rRNA". It matches the Rfam family "Bacterial small subunit ribosomal RNA". The record is from RNAcentral.
GAUUGAACGCUGGCGGCAGGCCUAACACAUGCAAGUCGAGCGGUAGCACAGAGAGCUUGCUCUCGGGUGACGAGCGGCGGACGGGUGAGUAAUGUCUGGGAAACUGCCUGAUGGAGGGGGAUAACUACUGGAAACGGUAGCUAAUACCGCAUAACGUCGCAAGACCAAAGUGGGGGACCUUCGGGCCUCAUGCCAUCAGAUGUGCCCAGAUGGGAUUAGCUAGUAGGUGGGGUAACGGCUCACCUAGGCGACGAUCCCUAGCUGGUCUGAGAGGAUGACCAGCCACACUGGAACUGAGACACGGUCCAGACUCCUACGGGAGGCAGCAGUGGGGAAUAUUGCACAAUGGGCGCAAGCCUGAUGCAGCCAUGCCGCGUGUGUGAAGAAGGCCUUCGGGUUGUAAAGCACUUUCAGCGGGGAGGAAGGCGUUAAGGUUAAUAACCUUGGCGAUUGACGUUACCCGCAGAAGAAGCACCGGCUAACUCCGUGCCAGCAGCCGCGGUAAUACGGAGGGUGCAAGCGUUAAUCGGAAUUACUGGGCGUAAAGCGCACGCAGGCGGUCUGUCAAGUCGGAUGUGAAAUCCCCGGGCUCAACCUGGGAACUGCAUUCGAAACUGGCAGGCUAGAGUCUUGUAGAGGGGGGUAGAAUUCCAGGUGUAGCGGUGAAAUGCGUAGAGAUCUGGAGGAAUACCGGUGGCGAAGGCGGCCCCCUGGACAAAGACUGACGCUCAGGUGCGAAAGCGUGGGGAGCAAACAGGAUUAGAUACCCUGGUAGUCCACGCCGUAAACGAUGUCGAUUUGGAGGUUGUGCCCUUGAGGCGUGGCUUCCGGAGCUAACGCGUUAAAUCGACCGCCUGGGGAGUACGGCCGCAAGGUUAAAACUCAAAUGAAUUGACGGGGGCCCGCACAAGCGGUGGAGCAUGUGGUUUAAUUCGAUGCAACGCGAAGAACCUUACCUGGUCUUGACAUCCACAGAACUUUCCAGAGAUGGAUUGGUGCCUUCGGGAACUGUGAGACAGGUGCUGCAUGGCUGUCGUCAGCUCGUGUUGUGAAAUGUUGGGUUAAGUCCCGCAACGAGCGCAACCCUUAUCCUUUGUUGCCAGCGGUUCGGCCGGGAACUCAAAGGAGACUGCCAGUGAUAAACUGGAGGAAGGUGGGGAUGACGUCAAGUCAUCAUGGCCCUUACGACCAGGGCUACACACGUGCUACAAUGGCAUAUACAAAGAGAAGCGACCUCGCGAGAGCAAGCGGACCUCAUAAAGUAUGUCGUAGUCCGGAUUGGAGUCUGCAACUCGACUCCAUGAAGUCGGAAUCGCUAGUAAUCGUAGAUCAGAAUGCUACGGUGAAUACGUUCCCGGGCCUUGUACACACCGCCCGUCACACCAUGGGAGUGGGUUGCAAAAGAAGUAGGUAGCUUAACCUUCGGGAGGGCGCUUACCACUUUGUGAUUCAUGACUGGGGUGAAGUCGUAACAAGG